This is a non-coding RNA of Tuber magnatum (white Piedmont truffle), 81 nucleotides long. Lineage: Eukaryota; Fungi; Ascomycota; Pezizomycetes; Pezizales; Tuberaceae. The record is from the annotation of a GenBank genome assembly.
GGUUUGGUGGCCGAGUGGUCUGAGGCGCUACGUUUGGGUUAAUUGAUCGAAAGAGCGCGCGUUCGAAUCGCGCCCAAAUCA